CGGCGCUCCUCUCCCUUUCUCCUCCCUCUGCUCUCGUUCGUUGCCGCUCCUCUCCCUAAUCUGCUCUCACUGUCGCUGGGAUCUUCACCCACGCUCACGCAUACCUGUGCCGUCGCCGGCCUCCACCACGAUUCCUCCACAGCACUGCCUACACGCUGUGAUUCUGCCUUUCUCCUCCCAAACUCAUUCUUGUCGUUGCUGCUCCCUAAUCUGCGGAUCUCACCGUGAUUUGUUGUGGAUUGGAAGAAUUUAAUAGUCACCUUGCUCCUUUCUACAUAAUCGAAUCAAACAGGUGACAGGUACUUGGAUUUUGC
Molecule: long non-coding RNA, 314 nt
Organism: Zingiber officinale
Lineage: Eukaryota; Viridiplantae; Streptophyta; Magnoliopsida; Zingiberales; Zingiberaceae
Exons: 3
Source: RefSeq, a predicted model, not a curated record